This 460-nucleotide ribosomal RNA is filed under the name uncultured bacterium. Its description in RNAcentral is "partial 16S ribosomal RNA". It matches the Rfam family "Bacterial small subunit ribosomal RNA", at positions 338 to 795 of the family's 1533-position model. The record is from RNAcentral.
CCUACGGGUGACAGCAGUGAGGAAUAUUGGUCAAUGGACGCAAGUCUGAACCAGCCAUGCCGCGUGCAGGAAGACGGCUCUAUGAGUUGUAAACUGCUUUUGUACGAGGGUAAACGCAGAUACGCGUAUCUGUCUGAAAGUAUCGUACGAAUAAGGAUCGGCUAACUCCGUGCCAGCAGCCGCGGUAAUACGGAGGAUUCAAGCGUUAUCCGGAUUUAUUGGGUUUAAAGGGUGCGUAGGCGGUCGGAUAAGUUAGAGGGGAAAUCCCGAGGCUCAACUUCGGAAUUGCCUUUGAUACUGGCAGGCUAGAGAGUAGUUGCGGUAGGCGGAAUGCAUGGUGUAGCGGUGAAAUGCAUAGAUAUCACGCAGAACACCGAUUGCGAAGGCAGCUCACGAAUCCGCGAUUGACGCUGAUGCACGAAAGCGUGGGUAUCAAACAGGAUUAGAUACCCCUGUAGUC